CAAAGGGCAGCUGGGGAGACAAAAGGCAUAGAUGGCUUCUUGAGUAUCUUUGGCUUCGGAUCCGAGGCCGAGGAGAAGAGCUGUCCACCUCAUGAGAUCUUGGAGGGAAACGAUUGUAUUUAAAAUGUCAGUGCUUCGGAGAAAUGUCAGCUUCACCAACCCCUCACUCUCUAAUGCGCCACACUAAGAGGUCUGACUGUAUUUCUCGAGGUAAUGCAAAAACUGAGAGGUUGAUACGAAAACCAGGGGCUCCUUCCACCUCUCCUGGACCCUCAGGUCACGUUGGAAAGCAUUUUCACAAGGUACGAACUGGAAUUUCUCAUCUCUCCCACAUUCCUGCUUGUUUUUAAACCUCAUGAAGCUCUUUUUCCAGCCUGUGGGCUAUUUCUUGCCCCAGUAAAGAAGAAUCUUAGUUGCUAUCAUCCCACGGAGACUGGGUUUAUAGAAAAAGAGAUUGCCAUGGCCUACAGACCUUUUCCCAACAAAUUUGGAAAGGCCCUGGCUUUAAAACACACACGCUUGUGCGCACACACGCACACACACAAAUACACACAGGGAGUGAAGGAAC
This is a non-coding RNA of Callorhinus ursinus (northern fur seal), 568 nucleotides long. The record is from RefSeq and is a predicted model, not a curated record. NCBI's taxonomy places the organism in Eukaryota, Metazoa, Chordata, Mammalia, Carnivora, Otariidae.